This 497-nucleotide ribosomal RNA is filed under the name uncultured bacterium. Its description in RNAcentral is "partial 16S ribosomal RNA". It matches the Rfam family "Bacterial small subunit ribosomal RNA", at positions 28 to 507 of the family's 1533-position model. The record is from RNAcentral.
GAUGAACGCUGGCGGCGUGCCUAAUACAUGCAAGUCGAGCGAACAUACGAGGAGCUUGCUCCUCUGACGUUAGCGGCGGACGGGUGAGUAACACGUGGAUAACCUACCUAUAAGACUGGGAUAACUUCGGGAAACCGGAGCUAAUACCGGAUAAUAUAUUUAACCGCAUGGUUCAAUAGUGAAAGACGGUUUUGCUGUCACUUAUAGAUGGAUCCGCGCCGCAUUAGCUAGUUGGUAAGGUAACGGAUUACCAAGGCAACGAUGCGUAGCCGAGCUGUGAGAGGGAUCGGCCACACUGGAACUGAGACACGGACCAGAAUCCUACGGGAGGCAGCAGUAGGGAAUUUUCGGCAAUGGGCGAAAGCCUGACGGAGCAACGCCGCGUGAUUGAUGAAGGUCUUCGGGUCGUAAAACUCUGUUAUUAGGGAAGAACAAAUGUGUUAUUAAAUAUGCACGUCUUGACGGUACCUAAUCAAAAAGCGACGGCUAACUACGUG